CAGCCACACCAUUUGCUGAUAAGCCCACAUGACUUCUCAGUGAUUUGCCACCAUCAUCUUAUUACCUAAGCUCAUAUGCCCCACUGGGACCUGUACAUGACUCAUUCAUUCCAAUGAAAGUAAGUUUACUUUCUUGUAAACUCGCCUUGUCCCUACAAACUUCAUAAGCUCUUACACCUUCAACAUUUUGCUCAAAACUCAUCUCCUCCAAGAAGCUCCCCUUCAGUGAUUCCCAGAGACUUGUUAAUACAUCAUAUUCUAAGCAUGCCUCACUGUUAGAUUAUAUGUGUUUUUAUCUUUGUAAACAAAUUUCAAAUUCUCGAAAGUCAUCUUUUUUUUUUUUUUAAUUUUCUUUCAUCACUUCCAAUUAAGACCAGAAAAAAGGUUUUCACACAGGGAAUACACAGCAAAUGUGCUCAAUGGACUGAAUCUUUCAGAAUUUCUGGUCAGUUUGCUUGUAAAUACAACCACCAAUAAAUGUUUUCCAAUGGGCUAAAAGUGCCUGCAUUUGGCUUCUGAUUUUUCUUCUCAGUUUUUAUUUGCUGUCCCUUUGUAUUAAUUAUUGUCAUGUCCAUGAUAAUCAGGAGUAAUGGUUCAAGUGAAUCUAUUUUUACUAUGCAUUAUGUAUAUGGUUUCAUGCACUGUUCAACUAAUAUUGUACAUAGACUCCACGUAUUUUAACUUUAUGUUGAGAGUAGCGAAUGGGUCUCAACUUCAGGAAAGUGGAUUAUAAUUUUGUCUAUGAAUUACCUUAAAGGAUACAUAACGAAUAGGCAAAAUUGAUAAAGAAGAAAAAUUACAAAGACCAUUACCAAUUUGAAGGGUGAAAGAACAUGGAAACCUAAAAUAUAUAGUCUGGGUAGAGUAUGAUUUGAGCUCAUGGACAAUAACAAAGACACAUUUGAAAAAACUUAAAAAAUGAGUGAGAUAACUCACAGCAUGUGUACUAAUACAAAAUUAAGACUAACUGAAACAAAUAAUAACAUGAGAAUCUAAGAAAUGUGUUAAAGUUACUAAAGUUACUAAUAGAAGGUUUACUCAAAAUCCUAAAGGAUUACAUUUAAAUUGGUGAACCAUAAGAAAUAAUCAUAGAUUAUUUUAUCUGCUCUUAGGAAACUGUCUGCUAAUUUAAAACCCUUUAGUUAUUCUAUUUUCUUAUAAUUAAAAUUUACACACAAAACCACUCUAUUUUUACUUGUUAAAACUCUUUCUAGGAGUUCCCAUCAUGGCUCAGUGGUUAACAGAUCCAACUAGGAACCAUGAGGUUGCGGGUUUGGUCCCUGGCCUUGCUNAUUGCUGUGGCUGUGGUGUAGGCCAGCAGCUACAGCUCCGAUUCGACCCCUAGCCUGAGAACCCCCAUAUGCCGCAGGAGCAGCCCUAGAAAUGGCAAAAAGACAAAAACAAACAAACAAACAAAAAAAACUCUUUCUAAAAUCCUAGUAGUAUUUACCAUCUUAGUAAAUACCGUUAACAAGGGUUAGUUUGUGGUUGACGAUUUACGAUCUUGAAGAUAGGCAGGACAUUAUUUUAUGUGGUAAGCAGCCAUCAGUUUUAAAAUUUGCUAUCAGGGCCUUCGCUGGUCCUUCCAAACUGAAUAUGGUAUGUGCUCCUAUGUUCCCAUGUAUAUUUAAUUUCUGUACUGAGCACCUUAUAUUCAUUCAUUUAAUUAUCCAAACAAUGAUUUACUGAGCGCCAUUCAUGGGCCUGGCAGUGUAUUGAGGUUACCACAAUGAGUAACUCAGCCUCCGUGAUUACUCCCAUGAAGCUUAGAGUCUAAAAUGAGAAAUAGAAAUUAAGUGACAAUGACAAAAAUAAUCAAUUGUAUUGCAGAUACUUGAUAGGAAUGGAAAACACAGGGAGUGAUGAGAAAAUAUAGCAACAGGUAGAAAUCUAAACUCAAAGGACAAAAAAGGCAUCCUUGGAGAAGCAAGAAGAUAAUGAGUGGGGACUAACCAGACCAAUGGAGAUGGAAGGACAUUCCUGGAAAGAGAAAGUGCAAACAAGGAAGUUCUGGGAUAAAAAGGAUCUUGGCAUGUGCAAGGCAUUGUUAGAACCAAGAGCAGCAUGGCUGGUGCGUCUGUUGAGGGGGAUGCCAAUGUGUCUAAAGAGAGGAGGAAAGGAUGUGGCUGGAAACUAGGGAGGAAGAAGGCUUGGGGUCUAAGAGUCCAGAUGAAGAAUUCAGGCUUUUACCCAGGAACAAUGGUAACCAUGAGUUAGCCAUGUAGAUGCCUGCUUCUAAGUAUUAGAAAUUGCAGGUCUUUGGUUCAUAAUCCCAGUUCCAACAUCUCAGGGAGCACCCGACACAGAGUGGGUGCUUAACACUUGUUGGAUGACUGACUGGAGAGAAUGCAUGAUCCCUUGUCUCCCCAGCCAAAGAAUAAAGAGGUUCUGAGUUACAGAGGACUCUGAUUUAAUGGGGAGAGGAGAGGGAAGAUUCCAGCCACUACUUUUUUACAACCUAUCCUUUUAAGGUGUCAUUUGAAAAUAUAAACAUUGCAAGUGAUAUCCACAGGAGCAGGUUGAGGGGCUCCCAGACAAAUGAAGUGCUCCAGAAUCAAAGCAACUAUCUGGCCAGAGCAAGAUUCCUACGAAAUCUCCCUGCAAAACUACCAAAUCACAAGCAAAUGUUCUGAGGUUAUAGAGUCAACCAACAGUCCUUCAGAAGAGUAUGAAACAGGGUGCCAGCUUAACAACACAAAAAAUAUUGAGAAGAAAAGGACAGUCUUCCAACAGUGCCCCAGGAGUGUAACAAAUGUGAUGAGGUUUAGGGCUUUGAUCAGGACCUGCUCACAGGGUGUUCUGAUCAGGGGGUGUUUUGCUUCUAUGCUUUAGUUGGCCCUUCGCUCUCUGUUGAAUUCAGGCGUGCAAAAGCCUUUUCUUUUCAAGCAUGAAAACAAAAAUCUCUUGCCAUUUCAAAGUGCCCUCUCCUUUGCAGCCUACUUGGUAGUUUGCCUUUCUUUCUUUACUUUUUGAAUACGAGCUUUGAUCAUCUCACCCCCCUGCUCCACCUUCAGUGGCUUACCACUGCCUGAUGAAUAAAAUAAAAACUUCUAAGCUUGCCACAUGAUGUCCCAAACCUCGCAAAUGCCCAACAUGUUUGCCUAACCUCUUCUGACUUCCUCUCCACAUAGUCACCGUCAUCAAGCCAUUGUUUUGCUUAUUCCAUGCAAAGACAAAGGCAACCAGUUUCAUCUGUUCCUUCUUCCUUCCUUCUGUUCUUCCUCUCCUUUUCUUUUGAAUCUUACCAUCGAUUACCUCCCCAAUUAAAAUCAAGAUACCUAAAGACACAGGAGUCCUAGGACUCAAAAAAAAAAAAAAAAUCUUCCAGGUCUCUCACUGAAAGCAUUACUUUUCUUGCAUAAAGUACAAUGGUUCAAAAAUGGAUGCACAACUGAAACCAGAGUCAUGGUACUCCAUGAAGAUAGUGAUUUAACUUUAUGCAAUUAAAGAUGUUCUGGGAGAACCAGUUUAAAAUGUAGAUAUCUGAUCUUGCUCCCAAAUGUUGUGAGAAACAGUCUGGCAAAGCCUAGGAAUUGCAUUGCAUAUUUAGCAUCAUAUCUAGGUCUCAUUUAAAUGGUCCAAAGAUGAUACUUUGAGAAACACUGGUCUGCAGUGUUGAGUAGACUUCCUGUGUUUCAAACAGACUGGUCUUCUAAUGAAUUCUGUUUCUCUAUGGACAUGCCGAAGGCAGAAUUCAGCUGCAUACGUGUCUCUAGUGACUGGAAAAUGUUUGAGGAAAUUAAGAAGUGACAAGAAUUUUAGAGUAUAGCUCUUCAGUAGUGUGCUUGCUUUUACACAGUCUGAGGAUGCUCAUGCUCAGUGUAAUGCUUCAAUAAGAAAUGGGCAUGGGGAGGUCACACUGACAUUGGAGCAGUGUUCUGAACAAUAGACCAUUGAUUAGUACAUCUUUCUUGUGCCAGUUUAUUCUCUAAGCAACAUGUCUGUUCAUAAGAAUCCAGGUUUACUCCACAAAAAUCUUUUAAGUGUCUGCCAAUAUCCAGGCAUGGAACUGGGUGGUAGGUUUAAAACCCCAACUUUGGGAGUUCCCAUUGUGGCACAGCGGGUUAGGUACCUGACUAGUAUCCAUGAGGAUACAGGUUUGAUCCCUGACCUAACUCAAUGGGUUAAGGAUCCUGCGUUGCCGCGAGCUGUGGUAUAGGUCGCAGAUGCGACUCAGAUCCUGUGUUGCUGUGGCUAUGAUGUGGGCCAGCAGCCGCAGCUCCAGUUUGACCGCUAAGCCAGGAACUUCCACAUGUCCUGGGUGCAGCCCUAUAAAAACAAAAAUAAAAUCCAAACGUUGUUUUGGCUUUGUGAAAUAGACAUCCUAUGUCAUACUUUUAAAUACGAAAAUUACAUCCAGCAUCACUUAAAUGGGAAACGGGAAAGAGCAUUUUUUGGAAAACAUAAUGAUGUUGGUAGUUUCUUGGGACCUGUAAUCUAGCAUUGAAUGGAGUUUAUCAAUAAAAGCAGACAUUAAAGGAAAAUUACUCACAAAAAACCUUCUGACCCAUAAAAUCACAAUUGAUAUAUUUAAGCCAAAUCUUUUUAUCUGCUCUUUACUACAAAUGUUUUCAGAUAUCUACUUUUUAUCUGGUUAAUAUUUCACCACAAAAUAUUUUUGAUGGAUUUUAUCAAUAUUUAGUUCUUCAUUUUAUCUUUAUUCAACUUAGAAAGGUUAAUUGUAACUGUAUUAAAGGCAACUAACAUAACUGAUACAAUAGCCAAAGAAAAAUGCCUGUGCUAUUAUGAAAUAAAUAAAAAUAAAAUGGCAUCUAUAACCCUUUAGGUAGCUCUAAAAAAUAGACCUGACAUUUGAGGAAGGGGGAAGAACAACAAUGAAAUAACAUAGACAACCAUCAAAAAGCAGAAUAUCUGCAAAGCUUUAGCUCUACUUUGAAAGAGCAAGACAAAAGCCCCAAUUAUCAAAAGAUGUGUAUUGGCUUCUGUACAGAAAUAAAGGAACACGAGGAAAGACCACAUGAUAAGGGAAAAAAAAAUGGUAAAAAGUAAGAGAAGCACAUGGUUUGGUUAGUUUACAGCAAUGACAUUAAAAUUUAUAAUGGCUCUUUUACUGAAGAUUGUACCAUCUUAAAUUGACAUCCCCAAUAGCUUUAGUGAAAUUAAAAACAUCAAAGCACAUGCAUUCUUUGUUAAUCACAUGUAAGGAAAGUAAUACCUGUGGAUAAGUAAUUGUUACAGCAAUAAAUAACCAACAUUUAAGCCAGUGUGAAAGAAAAAGAUGAGAAGAGAACAUUCCCAAUGAGAAAGGAGGUUCAUUUUGCUAUAGUCUUUCAUUUUACACAAGAGCCAACAGAGACCCAAAGACACCCAUUGACUUGCCAGGAUUGGACAUUCCAGAAAGUCUUCCCUCAGAUGACUAUGGCUGAGUGAUACCUUCAUUCAUAAAGUCUUCAGGAAUUAGAGAUAAUGCUUUCAUGAAGUAACCAUCAAUAUGUGCUGCCAUGUUUAUGCAUAUGUGAUGCUGAUUUAGGGCCCAAGAUGUUCAUUCCUUUCUUCAAUCUCUAGUUUAUUCUCCACAACAUGCUUAUCGCUCCUGAUGGAGUUGGGCUCUUUCCUCUACCCUCCUCCUCCCUUUAUUCUUGUCACUUUUUUUCCCACCUUGCCUUUAUUUAUCUGUCCCCUCUCACUCCAACUUCUUUCUUUUCCUUUCUCUGUCAAUCUAGAACUCCUGACACACGUUUAGGCAUUGGGAAGAUGAGAAAAUCAGCAAGUGUGUUCACUUACACCAAGAAUCAGUGAAAUUAACACUCUUGAUGAAAAAGAGUGGUGACAAACCUUCAAGUUUUGCCAGACAUUAAAGGAAAAUUACUCAGAGAAAACCUCUCUGCCCCAUAAAGUCACCUGAUUCAUGUUUUUAACCCAAAUCUUUUUAUCUAUUCUUUACUGCAAAUAUGUUCAGACAUCUACUUUUUAAUUAGGUUAAUAUUUUCUCACAAAACAUUUUUGAUGGAUUUUGAGGGAUAUCUCUAAACGGAUGAGCUUCUGUAUUAACCCAUGACCUUGAUGAUCUCUUGAUUCAUCUAAAAAUGUUUAAGUGCAUCACCAGGACAGGUUCUAUCCUUUCCCUGUUAAAAUGAAUAGUUUGCUACAAACUAAAUGAUUGUCUUCCCCUUCCCCGAGAUUUGGUAGAACUUAAUUCUCGAUGAGAUGGUAUUAGGAGGUGGGACUUUAUGGAGGUGAUGAGGCAGAUGAUGCGGACAGAGUCCUCAUGAGUGGAGAUUAGCACCCUAUAAGAGAGACCAGAGAGCAGCUUGUC
RNAcentral lists this long non-coding RNA (6277 nucleotides) under Sus scrofa (pig). Its description in RNAcentral is "lncRNA (ENSSSCG00040053001.1)". Lineage: Eukaryota; Metazoa; Chordata; Mammalia; Artiodactyla; Suidae. The record is from RNAcentral.